RNAcentral lists this ribosomal RNA (514 nucleotides) under Anomala clathrata. RNAcentral describes it as "partial 16S ribosomal RNA". It matches the Rfam family "Bacterial large subunit ribosomal RNA", at positions 1819 to 2600 of the family's 2925-position model. The record is from RNAcentral. Lineage: Eukaryota; Metazoa; Arthropoda; Insecta; Coleoptera; Scarabaeidae.
GUCUUUUUGAUUAUAAUUUAAAGUCUAACCUGCCCAAUGAGUAUUUAAAUGGCCGCGGUAAUUUGACCGUGCAAAGGUAGCAUAAUCAUUAGUUUUUUAAUUGAAAGCUGGAAUGAACGGUUGGACGAGAAAAUAACUGUCUCAAUUUAAUUGGAUAUAGAAUUUUAUUUAUAAGUAAAAAAGCUUAUAUGAUUUUAAAAGACGAGAAGACCCUAUAGAGUUUUAUAUUUUAUUAUAUUGAUUAUUUUUAGUAUGUUUAAAUUUUUUAUAUAAUAAAAUAUUUUGCUGGGGCAGCAGAAAAAUUUAGUGAACUUUUUUUAUUAUAAUAACAUUGAUUUAUGGUUUAAUGAUCCAUUUUUUAUGAUUACAAGAUUAAAUUACCUUAGGGAUAACAGCGUAAUUUUUUUUUAGAGUUCUUAUCGAAAAAAGAGUUUGCGACCUCGAUGUUGGAUUAAAAUUAACUUUUGGUGUAGGGGCUAAAAGGUUAGGUCUGUUCGACCUUUAAAAUUUUACA